CAGGCUGGAGUGCGGUGGCAUGAUCUCGGCCCACUGCAACAUCCGCCUCCUAGGUUCAAGCGAUUCUUCUGCCUCAGCCUCCCGAGUAGCUGGACUACAGGCAUGCGCCACCACACCCAGCUAAUUUUUGUAUCUUCAGUAAAGAUGGGGUUUCACCAUAUUGGUCAGGCUGGUCUCAAACUCCUGACCUCAGGCGAUCCACCCACCUCAACCUCCCAAAGUGCUGGGAUUACAAGCACAAGCCACCGCGCCCGGCCAGGUUGACACAUAAGAUUAAUCAUUGCUCACAGUUACUAAGCGGCAGAGCUGGGGUUCGAAACUAGCAUUUCAGGCACUGUGCCCCACACUCGGCUUCAUGGCUCACCAGCCUGCCAGGUGGACACGCCCAGUCUCGCUCUUCCUGUCUCCACCCACUGUGUGUGUGCACCUGCCAUGUGCCAGGGGGCACGGAGGGGCACAAGUUGUGUUUCCAUCGCCUAGAUUUCCCCAGCUCAUGGUGGAGAUGGACACAUCCAAAACUCUGAUCUGAGAUGAGUCUCCUUGGUAUCUGAAGGAUGUCCUUCCUCUCUGGGUCUAGAACUCUGGAGUGACAGCUCUUUUCUUCCAGCACCGUAAACACGUUGCUCCCUUGUCUUCUGGAGCCCAUCAUUUCUGCUGAAAAAUAAUCUUAUUGUCCCCUUGAAGGAUGGUCCCUGAAACGUAAGGGACCCGACAGCCACCACGGCGAGGAAGGCGCAGAAGGGGCAGCACGGAGCCGUGAGCCACAGAGAUGCUGCAGCCUGGACCAGCCAUCAUCAGACAGGCGUGUGCCGUCAGCGCUCAACGUGUGAGAAAGCACAGAGCCAGGCCCUUCCCAAGACCCCACUAUGAACCCGAUUGCUUCGGCCUGGCUGCCUUCCUCCAAAGGGGUGCAGGCGGGGCCCACGGGACCCCAGUUCUCUAGUCUCGCCUGACUCUAGGCAGAACUCUAGUGGCUCUGAUCUCUGGGCAGAACUGACUCAAGAGCCACUGAAGAGACCUUCGCCUGGGGUCCUAGACUGGGCUGCAAGGAGUCUUUGAAUCUCUUGAGAUUGUGCACUAAGUAUUUACCUGCACGCAUUUUUCCAGGAAGAGGGCCUGCGGCUUGCAUCAUAUCCCCACCGUGGUCUGUGACCAAGAAAGUAGUCAGCAUCUUUAGGCUAGAGGAGGCGGGAGCCCCGGAUUCCAAUCGCAGUUCUCCCUGGCUGUGUGAGCUUGAUUUGUCCUUUCUCUCUCUGAGCCCUGAUUCUGCCUCUUUUCUGCAAGGACCUUGAUCGCUGGGGGCGGCAGGGCUCUGUCUGCUGAACCCCAGAUCCCUCUGCACUUUCCCUGCUCUGCUCAGUAGCGUGGGGCACUGGCCCAGCAAAGUUCAUUUCCAGGUUCUUGUUGUGUUCUGACCCUGAGAGGCUCUGGCCGGGACUGGGAGGGUGGGAGGGUGGGAGGCCCAGGUAUCUGCCCACAUCUCUGCUUCAGGCACCAGCUCUGGCAGGGGCGGCCUCUGUAGUUCACUUCCUACAGGUGGCCCCUUCUUCCACGGGGCCCCCAAGGGGUGCGAAUCUCACCCUCCAUACACCUCUUUUUGGACCCUCUGUGUAUUAAACUCCCUAAGGAGCCACCUGACGUGAGCUCUGGAGCCUGAGCCGUGGCUGAUAACCAGGUGAUUGCCAAGUGCCUUGAACACCAAUAUUCCCACCCAGGGUUGCCCAGUGACUUCACAGCAGGGCAGCGUUCCCCCGUGCUUGCCCUGGAACCCCUUUUUGGUUGACAAAUUGUAUGUUUUCAGAAUGGUUUGAGAUUUACAGCAAAACAGAGAAGACAGCCCAGAAAGCACUCAUAUCCCCUCGCCCUGCCACCCCUCAUCCUCAUCCGCAUUGGCGUGGGCCUGUCACAGCCAUCCACCUGCUCGUGACCAAAAUCCACUUUAGCCAGAUUUCCUUCAUUACCUAGUGUCCCUUUUCUGUCCAGGACCCCAUCCCGGACACCAUAUGAUAUCUCCUCCCCUUGGGCUCCUCCUGGCUGUGACGGUUUCCCAGACUUUCCUCGUCUUGGUUUUUAUUUUUUUUGAGACAGAGUCUCGCUCUGUCACCCAGGAUGGAGUGCAGUGGCACAAUCUCGGCUCACUGCAAGCUCCGCCUCCCGGGUUAACGCCAUUCUCCUGCCUCAGCCUCCUGAGUAGCUGGGACUACAGGCACCCGCCACCACGCCCAGCUAAUUUUUUGUAUUUUUAGUAGAGACAGGGUUUCAUUGUGUUAGCCAGGAUGGUCUCCAUCUCCUGACCUCGUGAUCCGCCCACCUCAGCCUCCUAAAGUGCUGUGGAUUACAGGCAUGAGCCACAGCGCCCUGCCUCUUUUUUUUUUUUUUCUGAGCUGAAGUCUUGCUCUGUCACUCAGGCCAGAGUGAAGUAGCAUGAUCUCGGCUCCCUGCAACCUCUGCCUCCUGUGUUCAAGCAAUUCUCAUGCCUCAGCCCCUAAGUGUCUGGGACUACAGGCCCAUGCCACCCACCACGCCCAGGUAAUUUUUUUUUUUUUUUGUAUUUUUAGUAGAGACAAGGUUUCACUGUGUUGGCCAAGCUGGUCUCAAACUCCUGACCUCAGGUGAUCGCCUUGGCCUCCCGAUUUCCUUGUCUUCAAUGCUGGGCAGUUUUGAGCAGCGCUGCUCAGGUGUUUGUAGGGCAUUCCUGGGCGAGAUCCGUCUGCUGCAUGCCUCACAGUUGGGCUGGGUGAUGGGUGGUUAAGUUUGGGAGGAAGAGCAUGGGGGCAACGCACCCUCUCCCCACACACAUCAGGGACACACCAUCAGCGGGGCACGCCACGGUUGGUGCUGGCCUUGAGUGAAGGGCUGAGGUGCACCCGUCUCUCCAUGGUAAAGCCACUUCCUCCUUCCCACCCUGUCUCCUCGGGAAGCCUGGACCCCCUGUUGCGGAGCCCCUUCUGGACCAGUGCGCCUGGGAAAUGCUGAGCCAGUUCCAGCCUAGCACACAGUAGGUGCCUAAUUGAGCCUCCCCGAACUGGAUGGAGCAUGGGAAAUCAACCCACGGCUGUGGCCUCAUUAGGAAGGAAGUUUUCCCUCCACUCAACUCCCUCUUGGCUUGUGGUCUAAUUAAGCUCUGCUGCUCCCUCGGGCCUGGGCCGGUUUGCACGGCUCACUCCCGACUUGAGGGGUUCCCGCCAGGCCCUGCUGGCUCCAGCUUCUGCCCACCCAGAAGGAGUGUGCCGGGGAGCUGAGGCCCCCACAAGGGCUCCCAGCCAGAAAGGCAUCUGGAUCCCCCACCAGCGCCCUUUCUAACCACCACAUAAGCAUCAAAAGCACACGGCACAGACAAGCCCACAAACAGAAGAGCAGAGGGUCCGGCUCUCCCCGCCUCCUCCCCCGGCCACACCCGGCAUUUCUAGGAGACUUUUCCCCAAGGCUCUGAGCCCU
This 3438-nucleotide long non-coding RNA is filed under the name Homo sapiens (human). RNAcentral's name for it is "HSALNT0156500". Lineage: Eukaryota; Metazoa; Chordata; Mammalia; Primates; Hominidae. The record is from RNAcentral.